GAUGAACGCUGGCGGCGUGCCUAAUACAUGCAAGUCGAGCGAACAGACGAGGAGCUUGCUUCUCUGAUGUUAGCGGCGGACGGGUGAGUAACACGUGGAUAACCUACCUAUAAGACUGGGAUAACUUCGGGAAACCGGAGCUAAUACCGGAUAAUAUUUUGAACCGCAUGGUUCAAUAGUGAAAGACGGUUUUGCUGUCACUUAUAGAUGGAUCCGCGCCGCAUUAGCUAGUUGGUAAGGUAACGGCUUACCAAGGCAACGAUGCGUAGCCGACCUGAGAGGGUGAUCGGCCACACUGGAACUGAGACACGGUCCAGACUCCUACGGGAGGCAGCAGUAGGGAAUCUUCCGCAAUGGGCGAAAGCCUGACGGAGCAACGCCGCGUGAGUGAUGAAGGUCUUCGGAUCGUAAAACUCUGUUAUUAGGGAAGAACAAAUGUGUAAGUAACUAUGCACAUCUUGACGGUACCUAAUCAGAAAGCCACGGCUAACUACGUG
RNAcentral lists this ribosomal RNA (497 nucleotides) under uncultured bacterium. RNAcentral's name for it is "partial 16S ribosomal RNA". It matches the Rfam family "Bacterial small subunit ribosomal RNA", at positions 28 to 507 of the family's 1533-position model. The record is from RNAcentral.